CCUACUUGCAAUUUUAGCUUGUAAAAUAUGUUUGUUUUGAAAAAAAAAAGUUUUCUUAGGUAACGCGAAGUAUGAUGCCACCUAAUGUUUUCUCUGUCGCGAUAAAAAUUUUUAGAACCAUCUUUAUAGUGUAAGGCCUUUGAUUUCAUCUUACCAUAACCAGCUUUAUUGUUCUUACUAUAAUUAUCGGUCGUGUUCGUUAUAGAAUCAACAAUGCUGAAAGAUAUAACAUCUAAUGUAUACAACAAAUCAACACUUACUUCCUAAAUAAUCCUUUAUAUAAUAUUUUUGGAACGAAAUGGAAUAGUGGAGAUGAUACGUCUCUUCAAGUCAGGCACGUGUAUGGAAAUGAUCUUGGCAUUUCAUAACUUUUGCAUCAUAUCGUGUCGGGUGACUCAGAACUCGAAUCUCAUCAUCAUAGCUAUAUUAGACUGACGACCUAUAUAGUUUUUUAUUUGGAUGUAAGGAGUUUGCUUGAUCUUAUCUUUAAUUUUGUUUGCUUUUUGUGGUCUAUAAAUAAUUCUGCAAUUCAAAUUACCUUCCAUAACCUCACAGCGACCAUAGCAACGAAGAUGUCCACACCAUCACCUGUGCGUUUAUUCUGUGGAGCUUGGCGCCGUAAUGAUGAUGGGUAUUGGAUUUUCCAGAGGAAGCCAAGUGACCUUGGCUAUAGGGUGUUAAUCAAACCGACAGAGACGUUUGAAGGUUUAGAGACUAUCAUCCGUGACCGUUAUAAUUUGAAACCUGAGACUCCCUUGUCACUAGCUUAUCACCCACCUGAGUGGAUGCUUGAACCUGAGGGAACUCGAACGCCGCCGACAACGAUCACUAAAACUUCGGAAGUGGAAGCAAUGAUGCGUCUUCCUUUCUUGGUACUGCGUAUCAUCGGGUCCUGAAGAUGUUGCAUAUUACCAGUUUCUGACCAAAACAACUUUCUCAAUUGGAGGUCUAGAUGACCGUGAACUUGUUGCAAGCAAGAAGGUUCUCGAGGAGAUUUUUAACGAGCAAGAGCUUGUAGGAAUCUACAGAGCCCAUCUUGAAAUUGAAAAGGCUAAACAGGAUCGCUGUGGAAAUGGUGCAUCUGGCAGUGGUUCCGCUGCUCCAGUUGCAAAAGAAGAAUCUGGUUCUUCUCCAUCUGGAUCCGAUGCGUGAACUCAUCUGGUUGAACGUUGUUGGUCAAAGUCUCCAAGAAUAAGGCAUUGAGUGUCCUCUCAAAGUUGAACUUGCUUCUCGUUUAAGCUAUGUUAUCUGAAUAAAUGUAGUCUGUUGUAUUAUUCUAUGCAUGUGCGGAUUAAAAUGUUGGUUGUUUGUGUUUAUUAUGUUUCAUGUGUUCCUUGUACUGGACAACACUUAUUUUCUAUGUAUGUGUAAUAUGAAUCGUUUAACUUUUUUAA
This is a long non-coding RNA of Brassica napus (rape), 1394 nucleotides long. RefSeq lists it as uncharacterized. The record is from RefSeq and is a predicted model, not a curated record. Lineage: Eukaryota; Viridiplantae; Streptophyta; Magnoliopsida; Brassicales; Brassicaceae. The transcript has 4 exons.